AUUUAUAUAGUUUAAAAAAACAUUACAUUUUCAUUGUAAAAAUAAAAUUUAAUUAUUUUUAUAAAUA
RNAcentral lists this transfer RNA (67 nucleotides) under Endrosis sarcitrella. RNAcentral's name for it is "tRNA-Glu". The record is from RNAcentral. Lineage: Eukaryota; Metazoa; Arthropoda; Insecta; Lepidoptera; Oecophoridae.